Molecule: ribosomal RNA, 300 nt
Filed under: uncultured Thermovibrio sp.
Lineage: Bacteria; Pseudomonadati; Aquificota; Aquificia; Desulfurobacteriales; Desulfurobacteriaceae
Description: bacterial SSU rRNA
Rfam family: Bacterial small subunit ribosomal RNA
Source: RNAcentral
UCUAGCUCUGGUCGAGCGGGGGCGGGGAGAGGGAGGGGGCGGGCGGUGGCGGGAAUCACUGGGGGGAAAGGGCGCGUAGGCGGCGCGGGAAGUCAACGGUGAAAGUUCAGGGCUCAACCCUGAGGCGGCCGUCGAUACUCUCGUGCUCGAGCACUGUAGAGGCAGGGGGAAUUCCGGGUGUAGCGGUGGAAUGCGUAGAGAGCCGGAAGAACACCGGUGGCGAAGGCGGCCUGCUGGGCAGUAGCUGACGCUGAGGCGCGACAGCGUGGGGAGCAAACAGGAUUAGAUACCCGAGUAGUC